UCAGGAUGAACGCUGGCGGCGUGCCUAAUACAUGCAAGUCGAACGAGUUCUGAUUAUUGAAAGGUGCUUGCAUCUUGAUUUUAAUUUUGAACGAGUGGCGGACGGGUGAGUAACACGUGGGUAACCUGCCCUUAAGUGGGGGAUAACAUUUGGAAACAGAUGCUAAUACCGCAUAAAUCCAAGAACCGCAUGGUUCUUGGCUGAAAGAUGGCGUAAGCUAUCGCUUUUGGAUGGACCCGCGGCGUAUUAGCUAGUUGGUGAGGUAACGGCUCACCAAGGCAAUGAUACGUAGCCGAACUGAGAGGUUGAUCGGCCACAUUGGGACUGAGACACGGCCCAAACUCCUACGGGAGGCAGCAGUAGGGAAUCUUCCACAAUGGACGCAAGUCUGAUGGAGCAACGCCGCGUGAGUGAAGAAGGCUUUCGGGUCGUAAAACUCUGUUGUUGGAGAAGAAUGGUCGGCAGAGUAACUGUUGUCGGCGUGACGGUAUCCAACCAGAAAGCCACGGCUAACUACGUGCCAGCAGCCGCGGUAAUACGUAGGUGGCAAGCGUUAUCCGGAUUUAUUGGGCGUAAAGCGAGCGCAGGCGGUUUUUUAAGUCUGAUGUGAAAGCCCUCGGCUUAACCGAGGAAGUGCAUCGGAAACUGGGAAACUUGAGUGCAGAAGAGGACAGUGGAACUCCAUGUGUAGCGGUGAAAUGCGUAGAUAUAUGGAAGAACACCAGUGGCGAAGGCGGCUGUCUGGUCUGUAACUGACGCUGAGGCUCGAAAGCAUGGGUAGCGAACAGGAUUAGAUACCCUGGUAGUCCAUGCCGUAAACGAUGAAUGCUAGGUGUUGGAGGGUUUCCGCCCUUCAGUGCCGCAGCUAACGCAUUAAGCAUUCCGCCUGGGGAGUACGACCGCAAGGUUGAAACUCAAAGGAAUUGACGGGGGCCCGCACAAGCGGUGGAGCAUGUGGUUUAAUUCGAAGCAACGCGAAGAACCUUACCAGGUCUUGACAUCUUUUGAUCACCUGAGAGAUCAGGUUUCCCCUUCGGGGGCAAAAUGACAGGUGGUGCAUGGUUGUCGUCAGCUCGUGUCGUGAGAUGUUGGGUUAAGUCCCGCAACGAGCGCAACCCUUAUGACUAGUUGCCAGCAUUUAGUUGGGCACUCUAGUAAGACUGCCGGUGACAAACCGGAGGAAGGUGGGGAUGACGUCAAAUCAUCAUGCCCCUUAUGACCUGGGCUACACACGUGCUACAAUGGAUGGUACAACGAGUUGCGAGACCGCGAGGUCAAGCUAAUCUCUUAAAGCCAUUCUCAGUUCGGACUGUAGGCUGCAACUCGCCUACACGAAGUCGGAAUCGCUAGUAAUCGCGGAUCAGCACGCCGCGGUGAAUACGUUCCCGGGCCUUGUACACACCGCCCGUCACACCAUGAGAGUUUGUAACACCCGAAGCCGGUGGCGUAACCCUUUUAGGGAGCGAGCCGUCUAAGGUGGGACAAAUGAU
Molecule: ribosomal RNA, 1490 nt
Filed under: uncultured organism
Description: 16S ribosomal RNA
Rfam family: Bacterial small subunit ribosomal RNA
Source: RNAcentral